GGUAACUGUAAGGGGCUGGAAGUGGGAAACUCCAGCUCAUAUCCCCGUUGGCCUCCUGAGCAGCUGGUUUAAGCUGUGUUUGAAAAACAAGCAUGUGUAGUCGAAGCUGAAUGGAGCUGAGCAGCUCUGCUCUGCAAACAGGAGAUUUCAGACUAACCUGUGUAGUAUUUUUGAUAGACGUGUACAUAAAGCUGGGGGCAGAUCAUGGCUACGGGGGAUGGAGCUUGGGGACUUGGUUCGAGCUUGAAGAGAGCAGGGAAGGGUUUCAGCCUGUGAAGUUGGAAGCAGGGAGCUAUGGAGGAGCUGCGCAUGACAGAUUUAGGGGACGGGGCAGAGAUCAGAGCGACGGGCACAGUACAAAGAGAUUGAGGAAGAAAAAGAGCAUUUUCAAGGAGGAGUGAAUGAAACAAAGAAGACCGCGGCCCUUCCCUGCAGCAGGCCUCUGAUGCCGCGUCGGAGCGACCAUGAGGGCCAUCGGCUCGGCGUGGUGCCAGGCCCGGGCUCUGCACCACUCUGCUGUGUCGUGGCAGAGACCUGGAGGAUCGGAGGAGGCCAGAUCAUCUCCACCAGCCUCCAUUUGUGGGGGAGCUGCUCAAGAGCCCUGCUCGGCCUGGCCAGUGCUGAGGAUGGCCAAAGCCACCACAUGGAGAGUGAUGCUGGGCUGGGGACACUGCCUUUGAUCUGCUGGAGCCAGGAAUGAGAGGUGCCUGACCUGACACAGCCCCCUGCCAUCUCCUGCUUGUUGUUCUCCCAAAAGCACAUCACCCCGGGAAAAAUCCAAGGCCUUGUUUCUGAGACCCAGGCUCUUUUCAUGUGCAGCACCAACUGCACCUACUCAGCCCACACGUGUUGCUCACCUGAGGCCCUCUUGCCACUGCCAUGAGUUUUGGGGCACAGGGGAGCUGGACAGGUCUCCUAGAAAACCAUGUUUUAGCUCAGCUUUCAGGGCUGCAGUUGUCCUCUUGUCCCGUGUCUGCUCAGCACCCGUCAAAGUAAGAUCCCUGGCUGUGACAGCCCAGCUCCUGUGGGCAUUACUCCAAACUUACCAGUAACAAGAAUAGUUUAAAAUAUUCUGAAAAAAAAUCUGCUCUCAGCUAUUUAGUAAUUAGCCAUUAAUAAAUCACAACACUCAGGAGGAACUUCA
This 1144-nucleotide long non-coding RNA is filed under the name Anas platyrhynchos platyrhynchos (common mallard). Its description in RNAcentral is "lncRNA (ENSAPLG00000030090.1)". The record is from RNAcentral. Lineage: Eukaryota; Metazoa; Chordata; Aves; Anseriformes; Anatidae.